Molecule: small RNA, 2884 nt
Filed under: Drosophila pseudoobscura pseudoobscura
Lineage: Eukaryota; Metazoa; Arthropoda; Insecta; Diptera; Drosophilidae
Description: GA31992
Source: RNAcentral
CAGCUGAUUAGAUUUCUCUCGCUCGGCCAGGUGCGGACUUGAACGGCUCAUGGGGCUCAGCAAAGGCAGCACAAUCGUUUCAAAGACAUCGAUGUGUUCGAGUGGUCUGCUCAACAUAAUGGAUGCAGAAAUACACUGUAGUAUUACAUAGGGGCUCAUAAGAAAUGUAGGAAUUUCGUUUAAGAAUAAGCUUAUUUUCUGUUUAAAUGAAGGAUUCUCGUAAAGCCAGCCCUUGUUCGUUUUAGGAUGAUAGACAUACAUACUCACAUAUGUAUGUAUGUACACAUAAAUCACAUAAAUGUAAUUCUUAACGUGUUCCGAUUUUGGAUUUGAACAUUUGAUAGAACCUUGCUAUUGGCAUACAUUUUCCGCUCCACUUUCGAAAAGAGCUCAAAUACUUGUGAUCGUGUGUUGGAGCCGCAGACGCUCGUGGUUGUGGGCUAUUUAUGAUACAGUCAACGCUAAGUUCAAUAGCAUGCAAAUCAUUGCCCCCCGUAUAGUGUUGUGUUGUGUCGCAUAUCGAGAACGGCGCGCAGUUAUAGUUAUUCGUGUGCUAUUCGGUAUAUGUAAAUAUAAAAACCUUAUGGGAAAGCAUAGAGGCAAGAUGAUGCGCAUGAUACACAAUGAGCGACACAAAGAGAUAUCGCUGCACCAUAUGAGGACGUCCUCCAUUGCAACCGGAGAACCGGAACAAGCGACCGUACACCAUCAACGCUGCCAUACCAUACGUGAACCUUAUCAGCCCAAACGUGAGCCGCUCAUUCAGAUUUCUUACAUUCAGGAGCAGCAGUGAGCGUUUACAGAUCACCGACACACCGACACACCGACAACGACAGGACCAUAGUUCAUCAGACUCUACUCAAAGAGGAGAAGGUCAACAAAAAGGUGGCCAUAGCGUAGUCCGAGCAAGGGGAAAGCCACGGCAUCCAUUUCGAUGUCUGAUCCAGGUGGUCUUACCCAAUCUCGCUGUUUGUUCCCCCGUCUAGGUCCAGGAACCAGAGUCGAAUCCAAAGUCCCUCAGCCGAUCACCGGAUUUGAUUAAGACGCAAAUUCGUUAUUUAAAAAUGGUUUAUUUAAAUAUUUGUCUGUUUGGUUUGUUUCUUUUAUUUUGUUUCGCCCACCUCUGAUGUGCGACAUCAUACAUCAUACCUUUUCUUUUCUUUUCUUUUCCCGUCUCGUCACGAGUCGUCACGUCUCGUCUCGUCUCGUCUCGCCUCAUGAAUCAAUCAAUCGGCGUCCUACCAUUCCUACUUCUCCUAGUGCGCUUGGUUUAACUACCAGCCUGGUACAGAUGUCUAUAUACGAUGCUAUGUGUGGGUGUUUGUGUAUGUAUGUAUGUAUCUAUAUAAAUGUGUAUCAUGUCCAUAAAUCAGUUGGAUAAUAUAAUAAUGAAAUAAGUAUAACAAAAGCAGAGAAAGAAAUAUAUGUACAUAUAUGUAUGUAUGUACGUACUUAUGUAUAUCGUAUGUAUGAGUAAGAAAGUAAUACAUAUGUAUGUAUCUGUCUGAUCUGGAUUUUCUACAUGCAUGAAUGUGAAUUUUUUGUUCUUGGAAACCAUUUUGCAAAAUCAAUGAAGAUGUUUCGUACAAAGUAUCAAAAACGGUUCAAUCCGAUUACAGCAUCUCUUUAUGAUGAUUUUCGUGUCUUUUUCUUGUUUUGUUUUGUUCUGUUUUGUUUUAUUGUGAAGAGCGGGAGGAGUAGUAUUGUUGUAUUUGGUUGAUUCAGGGUGUAGGCAGGUAUCUUACAUGUCUAUAAAAAAUCAUGCGCUAAGUCUUGUUCAAAAUUGUGUUCUUAUUUUUUUACUGGCUCUGAUUGUUGGUUGGAGUUUUUGUUAAAAAGAGUGGUUCCAUAUUGUAUUUACAAUACAUGAUCAUCGGAUUACACGGCAUCGGUAUAUCUAACACGCCUUCCGCAAUAUAUAUGUAUAAUUAUAUAUAUAUAUAUAUAUCUAUAUAUAUAUAUGUAUAUAUCUAUGUAUAUAUAAGUUGUGAAAUUGCUAUAAAUUACAAGUUGCAUAAAAAAAGUCAUUCGAUUCUUGUUUGGAGAAGUACACAGAGACGUGGAGGAUUAUCUGUGGGAGUCGGUUGGGGUUCGAGUGCAAAAUGGAGGCCCCAAAAGCUACGCAACGGCAUUCAGUCUCUCUCUCUCUCACUGCUGUUCGCUUCCAUGCAGACCGCCAGCAGACUGCCUGCAGACUCGCUGAGGCAGCGAGAGAUUCUUACAGUUGCCCAGCAGUAUUAGGAGGCGACGCUCUAAAAUGUGUCGUCCUGUCCUGUCACGGAGGAUUCUUGCCUCCUUUCCUGCUUAUUCACGCUGCGAGAGCUUAUUACAUUUACUUUUGCAGCUCUCGUUGCGGGGCAGUAGUGUGUGGUGUGUGGUGUGCGAUGUGAGUGUGUUGGUGUGUUGGUGUGAUAGGACGAUGGCGAGGGCUGUUUGAAAAGUCUGUCUUAACGCUUUACUCUUGAAAUUAUCAUAUUUCGCUUGUAGUUUGGUUUCUCUUUAUCUUUGUGUUUCGUUUGUGUUUUUUUCUUCUUUUUCUUUCGCUUGGUAAAUGGAUAUAGCAACAAUCUUGUAUUCUCUCUCGCUCAUAUAUUUCGGUUUUUUUUUUCUCGUUUUAAUUGUUUUGUAUUUGCGUUUGCUUUAGUUUGUAUUUUAGAUAGUAUUGUGUUCUAGCUGUGUGUCGUGUGCAUUUGGUUUUCUGAUUUCAGUUUUAUUCGGUAAUAUAUGUAAGUAUCUUUUCGCCUAUUUAACUUAUUUGUUUUCUCUUCUCUUCCUUUUAUUUUGUUUUGCAUUUGCUUAAGUCCAUGGUUUUUCUUUUACUGCUGUUUUUCUUUCUCUUUGUUUUUCGGGUGUUUGGUUCUCGUAGAAUUCGUACAAAAAAAAA